CCUACGGGUGGCAGCAGUGGGGAAUAUUGCACAAUGGGGGAAACCCUGAUGCAGCGACGCCGCGUGAGUGAAGAAGGAUUUCGGUAUGUAAAGCUCUAUCAGCAGGGAAGAAAAUGACGGUACCUGAUUAAGAACCCCCGUCUAACUACGUGCCAGCUGCCGCGGUAAUACGUAGGGGGCAAGCGUUAUCCGGAUUUACUGGGUGUAAAGGGAGCGUAGACGGCAGAACAAGUCUGGAGGGAAAUGCCGGGGCUUAACCCAGGAACUGCUUUGGAAACUGGGCAGCUAGAGUGCAGGAGAGGAAAGUGGAAUGCGUAGUGUAGCGGUGAAAUGCGUAGAUAUUACGAGGAACACCAGUGGCGAAGGCAGCUUACUGGACUGUAACUGACGUUGAGGCUCGAAAGCGUGGGGAGCAAACAGGAUUAGAUACCCGAGUAGUC
This 440-nucleotide ribosomal RNA is filed under the name uncultured bacterium. RNAcentral describes it as "partial 16S ribosomal RNA". It matches the Rfam family "Bacterial small subunit ribosomal RNA", at positions 338 to 795 of the family's 1533-position model. The record is from RNAcentral.